CGCGUAGGCGGGAUAUUAAGUCAGGUGUGAAAACUCAGGGCUCAACCUUGGGACUGCACUUGAAACUGAUAUUCUUGAGGACAGGAGAGGAAAGUGGAAUUCCCAGUGUAGCGGUGAAAUGCGUAGAUAUUAGGAGGAACACCAGUGGCGAAGGCGACUUUCUGGACAGUAACUGACGCUGAGGCGCGAAAGCGUGGGGAGCAAACA
This 207-nucleotide ribosomal RNA is filed under the name uncultured bacterium. RNAcentral's name for it is "partial 16S ribosomal RNA". It matches the Rfam family "Bacterial small subunit ribosomal RNA", at positions 568 to 774 of the family's 1533-position model. The record is from RNAcentral.